RNAcentral lists this ribosomal RNA (256 nucleotides) under uncultured bacterium. RNAcentral's name for it is "partial 16S ribosomal RNA". It matches the Rfam family "Bacterial small subunit ribosomal RNA", at positions 333 to 603 of the family's 1533-position model. The record is from RNAcentral.
CUACACCUACGGGGCGCAGCAGUGGGGAAUAUUGGGCAAUGGGCGCAAGCCUGACCCAGCAACGCCGCGUGAAGGAAGAAGGCUUUCGGGUUGUAAACUUCUUUUCUGAGGGACGAAGAAAGUGACGGUACCUCAGGAAUAAGCCACGGCUAACUACGUGCCAGCAGCCGCGGUAAUACGUAGGUGGCAAGCGUUAUCCGGAUUUAUUGGGUGUAAAGGGCGUGUAGGCGGGAAUUCAAGUCAGAUGUGAAAACUA